Molecule: RNA transcript, 1205 nt
Organism: Triticum aestivum (bread wheat)
Lineage: Eukaryota; Viridiplantae; Streptophyta; Magnoliopsida; Poales; Poaceae
Exons: 6
Source: RefSeq, a predicted model, not a curated record
UCCAUUGAAGGUAACUUCCUUUGAUAUUGGUAUUGUUCAAUUUUGUUUUUCCGGCUUCUGGUUGCUAUUAUAGCUUGUUGUUUUUAACGGUUACUAAAGAUAUGUUCAAAUUCAUACCAGCACUCCAAUAGCUAUUGCUUGAAAUCUGUUUUCUACCUGUGGUUAUUAAGUAUAUAUACUUAUAAGGUGUCCUUUAUUGCUUUCUUAAAUUCUGGGUAGUCUGCUAUGCAAUGAUGGCAUUGGCAGAUUUCGUUGCAGUAUUGAAAUGUAAAUAUAUUGAACAGAUCAAAUGGUAAGAUUAGUUAGCUUUCUUCCUGAUUACGUUUUCUCUUCCAUUUUCAAUGCUAUGUCUACCACGCAUUCUCAUGUCCAUGGUGCCUUUUUUGUUUGAUGUGAAGUAAAUUUCCACACGGGGUGGGGCAACGAGGUUGUGGCAACUUGGUGGCAUGGCUGCCGAUCAGCCAAGCAAGACCUACUCUCUCUACACCUCCGCAUGGUUGCUUGUUGCUGCUAUCAACUUCUCUAUCAUUGUUGGAAUGGGUCGGCGAUAAAAACUGCAAGUCUCCUUGCGCAUAAUCUCUUUUCGUUUGAAGCACAUUUCCGAUUUGAGCUAAGUGACAGUUUGAUUGAUAUUGGCGUGAUGGCUAAGGUCGAGGCUGCCACGUACUAGACCACCGCCAUGCUCAACGUCGAGGAGUGCGGCAGCACCGUGGCCAGGGCCAUAGCGUUCGGUGCCGAGAACGUGGCCAAGGGGAUCCUAUGGUGCGGGGUGAUAACCGUGAACAAGCUCCACCGGGCGAACGAGGUCAGCCCGGAGAUGCUCGGGCAUAUCAAAAUGCUUCAUGUGCGUAUAUGUGACUAUUUGCUUAUGGUGAACUUGAAGAUAGUCGUUAAGGUAUUCAUGGUGGAGGGAAAGGUUGAUGCUGGUCCUGGUCCUAUUUAUGCAACCGGCGUGGAAUUCAAGGAAGAAGGGCAUUUCGAACAAAGAAAUCAGCUGGUUUAGUGCCAGGCUCCUUGCUACUGUAGCUGAUGGGGAACACUGCUAUGGCUGCUGCACGGUGGCGGGGUUUGGGCAUGCCGCUGGUGCUCCAUCAGAUUGGUGUGGAUGCCUAUGCUCGGAAUCUGUUGUAUCUACGGGUUCCCAGGUCCCCUUGCUAAUUUUAUAGUGAGCUAGCAUUCUAGAUCUUUGGGGGAGGAUCCUCUCC